GCCGGGUGUGGUGGUGCACGCCUGUAGCCCCAGCUACUUGGGAGGCUGAGGCAGAAGAAUCGCUUGAACCCAGGAGGCAGAGGUUGCAGUGAGCCGAGAUCACGCCACUGCACUCCAGCCUGGGUGACAGAGUGAGACUCUGUCUCAA
This 148-nucleotide non-coding RNA is filed under the name Gorilla gorilla gorilla (western lowland gorilla). The record is from Rfam by way of RNAcentral. Lineage: Eukaryota; Metazoa; Chordata; Mammalia; Primates; Hominidae.